UGCCAGCCGCCGCGGUAAUACGAACCGUACGAACGUUAUUCGGAAUCACUGGGCUUAAAGAGUGCGUAGGCGGCUUUGCAAGUUGGGUGUGAAAGCCCUCGGCUCAACCGAGGAAUUGCGCUCAAAACUGCAGGGCUUGAGUGAGAUAGAGGAGAGCGGAACUGAUGGUGGAGCGGUGAAAUGCGUUGAUAUCAUCAGGAACACCAGAGGCGAAAGCGGCUCUCUGGACCGAUACUGACGCUGAGACGCGAAAGCGUGGGGAGCAAACAGGAUUAGAUA
This 279-nucleotide ribosomal RNA is filed under the name uncultured bacterium. RNAcentral describes it as "partial 16S ribosomal RNA". It matches the Rfam family "Bacterial small subunit ribosomal RNA", at positions 506 to 784 of the family's 1533-position model. The record is from RNAcentral.